GUAUGCCAGACACUGUACUUGGCACUGGAGUUACUAAGAUGGUUCCACCUGCUUUCAUUGCUUUCAGGCUUCUGAUCCAUCUUCGUAACAUGAACAUAGGCUGCUGGUCAAUGUUAAUAUGUGGUUGUUUAAAGAGAGAAUUACCCAGUUGGUCCAGAGCAAAUACUUACACAUGCUUAGAUGGAAGAGGUUCUGCCAGCAUAGCAGCAUCAUGGAACAACUUUAUCCUCUUUACCAGGAGCAGGUUGGGCACAUUAUGCAGGAGUACAAUGAUGCUGUUCAGAGAGCUGAGAGGCUGGCUGUUGCCAGAGAAAACUUACUCACUGGAAAGAACAGUCCUGGGCACCUGGUAACACAGGAAGAUCUGGUUAUCUAUACCAAGUGGCUAGUAUGUCACCUACAUUCACUUAGAGACAUUCACAGCUACCUGAGGGUAAGAGAAGAAGUGACUAAAAUACCCAUUCACUUUAUUUUUUGUGAGGCAGUUGGGGUUAAGU
RNAcentral lists this long non-coding RNA (497 nucleotides) under Phascolarctos cinereus (koala). RNAcentral's name for it is "lncRNA (ENSPCIG00000005971.2)". Lineage: Eukaryota; Metazoa; Chordata; Mammalia; Diprotodontia; Phascolarctidae. The record is from RNAcentral.